Molecule: transfer RNA, 117 nt
Filed under: Candidatus Woesearchaeota archaeon
Lineage: Archaea; Nanobdellati; Candidatus Woesearchaeota
Description: tRNA-Ile
Rfam family: tRNA
About the family: Transfer RNA (tRNA) molecules are approximately 80 nucleotides in length. Their secondary structure includes four short double-helical elements and three loops (D, anti-codon, and T loops). Further hydrogen bonds mediate the characteristic L-shaped molecular structure. tRNAs have two regions of fundamental functional importance: the anti-codon, which is responsible for specific mRNA codon recognition, and the 3' end, to which the tRNAs corresponding amino acid is attached (by aminoacyl-tRNA synthetases). tRNAs cope with the degeneracy of the genetic code in two manners: having more than one tRNA (with a specific anti-codon) for a particular amino acid; and 'wobble' base-pairing, i.e. permitting non-standard base-pairing at the 3rd anti-codon position.
Source: RNAcentral
GGGCCUGUAGCUCAGUCUGGCAGGCACAAGCACAACAAGCAUAAUGCCUUGUGCCCGGGCAAUUAGAGCGCCGGUCUUAUAAGCCGGAUGUCUGGGGUUCAAAUCCCUGCAGGCCCA